Molecule: long non-coding RNA, 285 nt
Filed under: Elaeis guineensis (African oil palm)
Lineage: Eukaryota; Viridiplantae; Streptophyta; Magnoliopsida; Arecales; Arecaceae
Description: long non-coding RNA (EGUI_LNC055325)
Source: RNAcentral
CUGGAGGAGUCCGGAUGGUACUGUGGAAGCUCAGACGGUCGGGAGAGUUUAGAAAGAUGCUGCACAAGAUCGGAAGCCGAAAGAGUCCUGGGAGGGUUGGCCUCUUACGAACUUUGGCUGGGGUUAUUUUAUACCCAACACUAGUCUCCCUACUUCUGAGUUCGGAUUUCGAAUGAAGGAAGAAUAGAGAAAUUUUCACAGCCAAAGUUGCCCCCCUUGAUUUAAAAAUUCAGCUGAUCUAUAAGCAGCAGGCAGUCAAGGAUGUAGAAGCAGAGUCUGAAGUUU